GUGCAGGUUGUUCAGCGAGGCCUGGCCUGUGGUGGCCUUGUCCUUUCCUAUAGCAUCUGCUAAAGAGACCUGGGGUGGUUUGAGGCCUUGGUGUGUCUUCAUCAUGACAAGGUUAUAGAAACCUCACACAAUC
This is a small nucleolar RNA of Lepisosteus oculatus (spotted gar), 133 nucleotides long. Lineage: Eukaryota; Metazoa; Chordata; Actinopteri; Semionotiformes; Lepisosteidae. The record is from Ensembl.